UACAAGGAAUAAUCAAACAACCCACUAAUUAAGAAUCAAUAUACAACGUUAAUUAUUAUUAUUUUAUUAUUAAUUUUGAGCUUAUAAAUGUAAGUACGAGGAGGUGUGGAAAGGUAAGGUCCAAAAGUAUAUUGAAAGGGAAAUGAAGAAAGGAAGUGUAGGGAGUCUUGUCGCAGGAGGGACGGCACUGCAGGCUGCAGCCUCCUUGCUUUGCUUGGUGCUUGGUGCUUGGUGCUUGGUGUUGGUGGUGUGCUUUGUUAACCUAAUGCUCUGCUUGCUAGUGCCGUCGCUAUGCGACCAGAUACCCUGCAACUUCUGCAUGCAGCUUCUUGAUUGAUUAAAGCCUUGGAAAAGGUACACACAACAAACUCCAUUUCUACACCCUGAAUUAUAUCUAGCUCUAUACCAACAAUCAAUAUAAACCUAGUAAAUUAAUUGGUGUCAUUUUCAACAUGAUUUCAUGUUCUGCAAAAUAUAUAUAACAUCAUCAAAUGAAGCUUGACCCUGUCCAAAUAUGAUUGUUUUAGCAGAUAAUGCUACAUUAUUGUUAAUUACAGGAGGUCUACUGAGAUGAUCGCCUUAUCAUCGAUCUAACCACUAAAAUCAGGACUAAUUAAGUUCCAUCAAUCAUUAGAGUUACGUAACGAGAGAUGUGAGACACCAUAAAUAUAUUACUGAUCAAUAAAAAUAAUAACAGUAUGUUUGCAGAUGGGUUCAUCUCACUCACAGCUGUUUUGCGUUGACAAAUUUCGUGAACAGAUCAUCAAAUUCAUAUAUAUAUAUAUAUAUGUGUGUGUGUGUCCCCUUAUCCAUGACCAUGAGACUUGGUAAUGGAAUGCUACUAGUAGUUCCCUAACUCCAAUAUUACCUACCUUAUAAUAAUUUUGUAAAGAGCGAGAAAUUUGGAGUUUAUGUUUGCCCCUUAUGAUUAGGGGUCGCAUGUAUAUAUAUUUAUAGUUUAAGAAUUAAGUACUGGUACUAUAUAUUAAUUAAAGAUAUAUAUAGUACUAUACGGCUUUAAUUAAAGAUAUAUAUGGUACUAUAUAUUAACUAAAGAUAUACAUGUACUGUAUGUCUAUAUAACACUCUCAAAAUCCCUAUUUCUCGUAAAUGUAAGAAUUCAAAACAUACAAUUCUAAAAUGAAGAGAGAGAUCAUAUAUAUCAUCAAAUUCGUAGGGGCUUCUGUCGUAGGAGAGAUGGCGCCAAAUGCAAUCAUAUUGGUUUGGUACUAAUUAUGGUAGAAUUAAAGCUAAGCCAAUUUGGGCACCGGGUUUCAUCUCUCCUCGACUGAAGCCCCUCACUUUGAUCAUCGCCAACUGGGAAAAGAAAACAACCCCCAGCUUUAUUCAUUUCUAAUUCCAAGCUUGAGAAAGAUCAAGGGAAAGGAUAAAAGAAAUUAGGUACCUCAAGAUCCAAGCCGAGGCCAAAUGCACCUUUGUUUAUCUUCUCCUUUUAGCUUGAUCAGGCCACCUCCGUCGUCCACUUCUGUUCUACAUUCGUGCCGAAAAACGCAUGGCCAGAAGACGAGGGUUUCAUCUUACUUGUUGUGAAGUUGAUGACUUGAAGGCUGAAGGAAGGGUGAGCUGAUUGAGGAUCUUCCUGCUCACAAGAUAUAUGUUCACCACAAAAUUUAGUCGUUUGUAUUGUGGCUGUAUGAAAUUAAUUAAUAACUAAAAAUUAUUAAAGCCUGCACCUGCACCUG
Long non-coding RNA from Prunus persica (peach), 1703 nucleotides. RefSeq lists it as uncharacterized. Lineage: Eukaryota; Viridiplantae; Streptophyta; Magnoliopsida; Rosales; Rosaceae. The transcript is spliced from 2 exons. The record is from RefSeq and is a predicted model, not a curated record.